Molecule: long non-coding RNA, 543 nt
Organism: Sander lucioperca (pikeperch)
Lineage: Eukaryota; Metazoa; Chordata; Actinopteri; Perciformes; Percidae
Exons: 2
Source: RefSeq, a predicted model, not a curated record
CUCUAUAUAUUUUCACAUUCAGUUCUCACAAUUCAAAUUCAGUUCUCAAAAUUCAAUUUCAAGUUACUGUGACAGACAUCCGGGUAGUUGAAGGAUGAAGGAAGAGCAAUCGAGCGCAGAUCGAUAGAUAGAGUUCAGUGGCGCAGAUACACAGGACUCCUCUUCGGCCAAUCAGCACCUACGUUUUGGAGCACAGUGCUCCAAAACGUAGGUGCUGAUUCGGAGCAAGGCUAGCAAGUGCACGUCAUUGCGUGAUUGCGUCAUUGAAAAUGUUUUCCCGCCUUCACUUCUGCGCUGCAUUUCAAAACACUGGACGAAAUGGAGGUGGAACUGUGAACUGUGCUGUUAAAUUUUUUGUUGAGAUGGAGAAGGUGAAUCAGCGUCAGUCUGCUUGCAGGAGGAGAAUAUUCUGUCGGCAACUUUGCCCGCAACGUGCGAAGUCUGGAAGCAACCCCAUCAUCGGCAGCUGUGUCUGAUCGCCGCUUCAUGUUGAAUAUACUUGUGUACAGUAUAUAGUAAUGUUUGAAUAAAUGUUAUAAUAAA